UACGUAGGGUGCGAGCGUUGUCCGGAAUUACUGGGCGUAAAGAGCUCGUAGGUGGUUUGUCGCGUUGUUCGUGAAAACUCACAGCUUAACUGUGGGCGUGCGGGCGAUACGGGCAGACUGGAGUACUGCAGGGGAGACUGGAAUUCCUGGUGUAGCGGUGGAAUGCGCAGAUAUCAGGAGGAACACCAAUAGCGAAGGCAGCUCGCUGGGACGUUACUGACACUGAGGCGCGAAAGCGUGGGGAGCGAACAGG
RNAcentral lists this ribosomal RNA (253 nucleotides) under uncultured bacterium. RNAcentral's name for it is "partial 16S ribosomal RNA". It matches the Rfam family "Bacterial small subunit ribosomal RNA", at positions 524 to 776 of the family's 1533-position model. The record is from RNAcentral.